Molecule: ribosomal RNA, 609 nt
Filed under: uncultured Actinomycetes bacterium
Lineage: Bacteria; Bacillati; Actinomycetota; Actinomycetes
Description: bacterial SSU rRNA
Rfam family: Bacterial small subunit ribosomal RNA
Source: RNAcentral
GNAACGNNNCNGCAGUCGACGAUUCUACGGGAGGCAGCAGUGGGGAAUCUUGCGCAAUGGGCGAAAGCCUGACGCAGCAACGCCGCGUGGGGGAAGAAGGCCUUCGGGUUGUAAACCUCUUUCAGUAGGGACGAAGCUUCCGGGGUUAAUAGCCUACGGGGUGACGGUACCUACAGAAGAAGCCCCGGCUAACUACGUGCCAGCAGCCGCGGUAAUACGUAGGGGGCAAGCGUUGUCCGGAAUCAUUGGGCGUAAAGCGCGUGUAGGCGGCUUGGUAAGUCUGGCGUGAAAUCUUGGGGCUCAACCCCAAGCGUGCGCUGGAUACUGCCUCGCUCGAGUCCGGGAGAGGAAAGCGGAAUUCCCAGUGUAGCGGUGAAAUGCGCAGAUAUUGGGAAGAACACCGGUGGCGAAGGCGGCUUUCUGGAACGGUACUGACGCUGAGACGCGAAAGCGUGGGGAGCAAACAGGAUUAGAUACCCUGGUAGUCCACGCCGUAAACGAUGGGCACUAGUUGUGGGCGGUGUCGACUCCGUCCGUGACGAAGCUAACGCAUUAAGUGCCCCGCCUGGGGAGUACGGCCGCGAGGCUAAAACUCAAAGGAAUUGACGG